AUUAUGCAUUUGUCUAAACCUGAUCGAAAACUCAUCACAAUCCUCCCGUGUCCUCUUCAUCUUCCACUCCAUCUCAACCCAAACAGAAAUCUCGACCCAUUCUCAUCCCCAACGGCAACUUGAACCCCCAAGUCAGGUAUAGGAUGAAGCUCGACCUCCCAACCAUGUACUUGACAUGUUUCUUAAUCUAUAAUGUAAUCCAUCAAAGGUACUUUACAUCAUGAAUAAAGAGUGAUGUUGGACCAAGUUGGAGCUUUUGCAAAUGGUGUAAUUGUCAAAGAAGUUGAUGAAUAAACUUUCUGCAUAUGCAAAGAAUUGAUAGAUGGCGUAGUUCUUGUAAGCCGUGAUGCCAUCUGUGCCUCAAUAAAGAUGUAGGUGUUAGUUCUUGAGAUUUAUAUAUUGAAUCUCGAAGCUUCAAACGAUUUUGUGAAUUGGUGGGCCAACAUUUCUCACGGUUGUCGUCGUUCAUGGAGCUUUGAUAUGGGGAAGGGGUUUUCGAUGGGAAGGGCUAGGGGCAGUUCGCAGGGCUUCAGGUUUCAAUUUCCCGAGUAGAUUUCUCCCUAUUUUUUAUUUGUUAUGGGUUUUAAUCAGAUGUUUGAAUGUGUAGUGUAAAUUUAGGCCACUAUCUUAUGUGUCUAUUUAUAAUUGGAGGACUGUUAUUAUACUCUUA
Carya illinoinensis is the source of this 670-nucleotide long non-coding RNA. RefSeq lists it as uncharacterized. The record is from RefSeq and is a predicted model, not a curated record. NCBI's taxonomy places the organism in Eukaryota, Viridiplantae, Streptophyta, Magnoliopsida, Fagales, Juglandaceae. The transcript has 2 exons.